Molecule: ribosomal RNA, 253 nt
Filed under: uncultured bacterium
Lineage: Bacteria
Description: partial 16S ribosomal RNA
Rfam family: Bacterial small subunit ribosomal RNA
Source: RNAcentral
GACAGAGGUGCCAAGCGUUAGGCGGAAUCACUGGGCUUAAAGCGUGUGUAGGCGGAAUUGUAAGUACCUUGUGAAAUCCCACGGCUCAACCGUGGAACUGCUGGGCAUACUGCGUUUCUUGAGCCAGUCAGGGGUCGUCGGAACAAACGGUGGAGCGGUGAAAUGCGUAGAUAUCGUUUGGAACGCCAAAGGCGAAAGCAGACGACUGGGACUGAGCUGACGCUGAGACACGAAAGCCAGGGGAGCAAACGGG